Gallus gallus (chicken) is the source of this 1760-nucleotide long non-coding RNA. Lineage: Eukaryota; Metazoa; Chordata; Aves; Galliformes; Phasianidae. The record is from Ensembl.
AGAAUGAGCCUGACCUUAGGAUUCGCGGCAAUGACAGCGAGCAACGCGCUGGCUGGGGUCUUCUAAGAACGUCUUUACUCUUGGCUCUGCCGCGUUACAACUAAAUGGCACCACUCUGCCUUCCAAAAAUCACUGCAAAAGCCCUGUGCUCCAUGCAGUGUGGUCUCAGAGGUCCGCUCAUGGGCUCACGAGGGCUCGUAGGGCUGCAGGAGGCACGGGUGUGCUCCUGGGGGAGAGCACAAUAGGCAGAAGGAAAUGACAGCUCUGGUUUUUGACCAGCUCUCAGAACCACUCUCAGGAGUCAUCCACGUGCUCGGUGGUUGCUGCUCUCUUCAGAGAUUAUAAUCUCCUUCAAGCAGAGACUCAUCUUCUUGCACAACUCUGAAUGCCACUGAAGUCAGAAACUGCACAGCCAUCAACACCGAGAUAAUGCAGAAGGUAUGAAGGAAUAAGAAUCUGUCUUUGAACUGCAUACCCUGAUGUAUUUUGCAAUUCUAUAUCUGAAAGAACAGCUAGGAGUGCCAUGAUCUGCCCCUUUGACAGCCAUGGGAGGUAGAUAUAGAGAAGACAGCCUCAGGCAUGGAUCUGCAGUCACUGCCAGGUACAAAAUUCUCCAAUUUGCAAUGCCACGUGAAAGAUCUCCUGCUGUUUGAGUGCACGUAUGGCCAGCCCAUCUACGAGCAGAUUAAGUAACCCUUCUUUGAUGGACAAUUUUGUUCAACUUUCUUCAUCACAGGCUAAAGUACAUGAGAAGGUAUUAUCAACAUCUGAAAAUAAACUUGCUAUAAUGAGAUUAAUAUGGUUGGUUGAUUACAUUCAGUCAUCAUUUUCUAACCCUGAUUUUAAUUUCGCUCCACAUUUUAAGUUCGUGCUAUAUAAACUCAUAUUUACUUUCUUAUGCUCCUCACUGCACUCAGUUUUCCAAGUUGCUUUCUAAUUUGCUUUAAUCUUCAUGCUGGUGUCUCCUGCCAGAAAUGACUUUUGGGUACUGGUGCAUUUUAUUGAACCAUGUUCUUCUAGACAGUUACUGAUGACCCUAGUUAAGCUCAGAAGUGAUUUACAAUCAGUAGGGUGUUUUAUGUGACAGAGAAAUAGUUUUAAGCUCCAUGACAGCUUUGAAAGGUUCUAGUGAAUACAAUUUAAGAACCAAUCAACUUAGGAAAAAGCAUGUAAUGAAAAUAUUAUGAGUCUCUUCAAUGUCACUUGUACUCGCUGGGUAUUUAUGGGCUUGGUGCCAGUCGGUGGUGGCUUGAACUCCUAUCCCAGUGGUGAGCGGGGUGCCAGCUGAUUCCAGCUGGGGCUAGUUCAAAAGCUAUAGCUCCUGCCAAGUAGCUUGUGAAUAAAAGGCUGGCUUGGAUCAGUCCAAACACCAUUGGAAGGUGCUGUGCAGGACUGACACUGGAGAAAACUGUGGGAAUGGUGCACGUAAUACUCUUUUUCUGUUUUUACCUUUUUACUGUAAAACUCUUCUCUUCCAAUGAUCAUGUAAGUUCACGACUCUCACAGAGAAGAAGCAGCAGAGAGAAACAGAUUCUGCCUGGGUUUUGCUCAGAACCAGGUCUAAUUCCCACAGAAAGAUUGCACGAACCAGAAUUGCCCAUGCUGGCCAUGAAAUCAAUGUCCUUCAACUGAUGUCCAAGAGGCGUUAAGUGAUGUCAAGCUGUCUGAAGAUUGCUCCUUGUGGUCCUAUACUCAUGCAGUCUGUUCUCUGGAGAAGAGCGCUCAGCUUGGGAUGGUUUGGACAAUAAAGAAUUUGAACC